This 253-nucleotide ribosomal RNA is filed under the name uncultured bacterium. Its description in RNAcentral is "partial 16S ribosomal RNA". It matches the Rfam family "Bacterial small subunit ribosomal RNA", at positions 524 to 776 of the family's 1533-position model. The record is from RNAcentral.
UACAGAGGUCUCAACCGUUGUUCGGAUUCAUUGGGCGUAAAGGGUGCGUAGGCGGUCGUGCAAGUCGGAUGUGAAAUCUCAGGGCUCAACCCUGAAACUGCAUUCGAUACUGCGCGGCUAGAGUGCUGGAGGGGAGACUGGAAUUUACGGUGUAGCAGUGAAAUGCGUAGAUAUCGUAAGGAAGACCAGUGGCGAAGGCGAGUCUCUGGACAGCAACUGACGCUGAGGCACGAAGGUCAGGGGAGCAAACGGG